This 497-nucleotide ribosomal RNA is filed under the name uncultured bacterium. RNAcentral's name for it is "partial 16S ribosomal RNA". It matches the Rfam family "Bacterial small subunit ribosomal RNA", at positions 28 to 507 of the family's 1533-position model. The record is from RNAcentral.
GAUGAACGCUGGCGGCGUGCCUAAUACAUGCAAGUCGAGCGAACAGACGAGGAGCUUGCUCCUCUGACGUUAGCGGCGGACGGGUGAGUAACACGUGGAUAACCUACCUAUAAGACUGGGAUAACUUCGGGAAACCGGAGCUAAUACCGGAUAAUAUAUUGAACCGCAUGGUUCAAUAGUGAAAGACGGUUUUGCUGUCACUUAUAGAUGGAUCCGCGCCGCAUUAGCUAGUUGGUAAGGUAACGGCUUACCAAGGCAACGAUGCGUAGCCGACCUGAGAGGGUGAUCGGCCACACUGGAACUGAGACACGGUCCAGACUACUACGGGAGGCAGCAGUAGGGAAUCUUCCGCAAUGGGCGAAAGCUUGACGGAGCACCGCCGCGUGGGUGAUGAAGGUCUUCGGAUCGUAAAACUCUGUUAUUAGGGAAGAACAAAUGUGUAAGUAACUAUGCACGUCUUGACGGUACCUAAUCAGAAAGCCACGGCUAACUACGUG